CGUAGUUGAUCAUGGCUCAGGACGACGCUGGCGGCGUGCCUAACACAUGCAAGUCGAGGGGUGAUUUCGGUCAUCACUGGCGCACGGGUGAGUAACGCGUAGAUCAUCUGCCCCUAUCACUGACAUAACAGUUCUAACGGACUGCUAAUAUCAGAUGAGGUGAGCAAUCAUCAAAGUUUCGACGGAUAGGGAUGAGUCUGCGUCUGAUUAGGUAGUUGGUGAGGUAACGGCUCACCAAGCCGACGAUCAGUAACUGGUCUGAGAGGACGAACAGUCACACUGGAACUGAGACACGGUCCAGACUCCUACGGGAGGCAGCAGUGAGGAAUAUUGUACAAUGGGAGGAAUCCUGAUGCAGCGACGCCGCGUGCGGGAUGAAGGGGCUUAGCCUCGUAAACCGCUGUCGGAGGGGACGAAUGGUACAUUUGAUGUACUGAGACGGUACCCUCAAAGGAAGGAUCGGCUAACUACGUG
This 474-nucleotide ribosomal RNA is filed under the name uncultured bacterium. Its description in RNAcentral is "bacterial SSU rRNA". It matches the Rfam family "Bacterial small subunit ribosomal RNA", at positions 1 to 507 of the family's 1533-position model. The record is from RNAcentral.